GCAAGCGAGAGUGUGUGUGUGUGUGUUUGUGUGUGAGUGAGGGGAAACAAAGAGAAAACCACAACAAGAAUCCGUGGCCAUUCAUCAUUGCUGUAGUGGAGGGGAAUGGAUCUCAGCCUAAGUUUCCCUGCCUUCAGCCGUCGAGUAGCUAGCAGAUGCCUUCUGGAUGAAGUUCUUGACGUGACAAAAAGUCUAGUACAGAGUCCCUAGCUAGCUCCUGGACAGUCUGCAGUACGUUCAAAUUGUGCUUCCAGAGUCGUACCCAUCAGCAAGUUCCUGAUUAUCUUCAAGCUUCUCCUAAAGAACCACUUUGUUGGACUCGGUUGUGAAUUUCGUCAUGAUGAAGGCGGCACCGCCGCCAGAAGCCCACCUGCUGCCGCGUCAUUGGCUGCUGACUUCUGGAAGCGUGAAGGAGGCGGAGCCAAAGAAGAAGGAGGAGGAGGAGGAGGUGUGGAAUUAGGUGUGCGGAGGAGAAGCAGCAGGAGUCAGGAUGCAAAGGAAAGGCCAAGAGACAACCAAGCGCGCUGAUGAAGAGGAGGCAGAGAAAGAGGAGGAGGAGGAGGAGAAGGAGGAGGAGAAGGAGGUGCUGACUCCAGACAGAAUGCCAGCUGAGAAGUACACGAGGACGCACGCACGCACGCACGGGCGCGCUCGCGAGGCUAAGGAGUGCGCGUGGCGCACGCGCAUCGCGCGAACCUGUGAUCGAUAUGAUACACGCUGACGUAAAUACGCCCGCCCUUCCACACAACUAUCUGUCCGUCCGCGUGAAAACACGCUGCGCUCAAAGUGAAUUGCCUGACAAUUGUUUUGGCCACUUAGAAACAAUUUCCGUUGUUUUCUUCUUUAAAAAAAAAAUAUACAGUGCCUUGCGAAAGUAUUGGGCCCCCUUGAACCAUUCAACAUUCGCGACAUUU
Molecule: long non-coding RNA, 914 nt
Organism: Syngnathus typhle (broad-nosed pipefish)
Lineage: Eukaryota; Metazoa; Chordata; Actinopteri; Syngnathiformes; Syngnathidae
Exons: 3
Source: RefSeq, a predicted model, not a curated record